Non-coding RNA from Lactuca sativa (garden lettuce), 5684 nucleotides. NCBI's taxonomy places the organism in Eukaryota, Viridiplantae, Streptophyta, Magnoliopsida, Asterales, Asteraceae. The record is from RefSeq and is a predicted model, not a curated record.
UGUUUUUUUUAAAUAUGUACUUAUAUUAAAUUUCGGUUUAUGCUACGUCAUUUUAACACCAAUAUUUUUAUACUAAUUAAUUAGAUUUACCUAUUAAUUAAAUUCAACUAAACAGUAUUAUUUUACUAGAUUUAAAGACAUUAUGCUUUGUACCUUCUAGAAAGUUUAUAUUUGGGAGACGAAUUAUGCUUUAUACCUUCUAGAAAGUUAAUAUUUGGGUUUUAGUUAAGGUGGUUGUUAUUAGCCGAAAUAUACCUGCCAUAUAUUUCAGAUUUCUAUAUUGUAUUCUAUGUAAUUAUUGUCCAUGGUCUGUACCAUAUUUAGCUCUAGUUUGUUAGGUUUCCCCCUUUCUCUCUAUAAUUCUCAGAAUAUAUUAAGUGGAAUAUCAAUGAGAUGGGCAUUCGAAUCUCAAACAAUUACAUGGUAUUAGAGCCAAGGGCUCAUUACCGAUUUUAUUCUCCUUCCACAGCCAUGGCCAUGCCAUUUUCUUGUCCAUUUCUUUUUUAGUCUUGUCCGCCAUCUCCUAAUAUUCCAAGAUGUCCGAAUAACCCAACCCCAUCAAAUCAAUCCACCCAGCUUACACUGUAACAAACAUACAGAACAAGGUACGGAUUCUAGAUGGCACUAAGGUCACGUACUCUUCAUGGGUAAGACUGUUCACACUUCACACUAAAGGUUACAAAGUCCUCUCCCACAUCGAUGGUACAAAUCCUCCAGCUAAGACAUAUCCAGCCUGAUCAGAAAUCGAUGCUAUCAUCCUUCAGUGGAUCUAUGGGACAAUUUCUGAUGACCUUCUUGCUCGAAUGCUUGAACCAGACUCCACUGCAUACGAAACUUGGUCCAAAGUUUAAAACAUCUUCCUCAACAAUAAGGGCUCUCGGGCUGCAACCCUAGAGCACGAGUUCAACAACAUGACACUCUGAGCCAUGACAUCCCUUGAAGCAUAUUGCCAACGCCUCAAAGACCUAUCUAGUCAGCUUAACGAUGUGGAAUGCCUAGUCAACGAGAAUCGUCUCGUUGUACAACUGGGUCGUGGUCUAACCUUCGAAUUCGACACCGUGGCUGCCUACAUCAACCAACCUUACUUACAUGGGAUACCGCCUGCUUCAUGCUACAACUUGAGAACCAGCGCCAAAGUGCCCAGGACAACCACUCGCCUAUGGAGGUUGCUGCCAUCGUUAUCAUGAACCACCGUCCAACUCUAUGCCAUGACGUGAUUCUGUUAACAAGAGUCGCCAAUCUCAUCCACGUAACACUAGUCGACGAUUUUCUCCAUCUGGUUCUCAAAAGAGGCAGAAAUCAACCCACUCAUCGCGGUCCUUCGUCUGGUCAAAAAUCGACAGCUCCCUCGUAUUUGAACAAUCGGUGCACUCAUCUGGUCAAAAUUGACCCCCAUGGUCCAAUUUCCCAUCACCCUUUUCGGCUGCUCCUUGGUGGGCUUCCCCACCACCUUGCCCAUAUCCUACUUAACGAGGAUGGGCCACACCUUGGGCAACUUUCUGCCGUGAAUCUUGACCCCAACGACAACCAGUGGUACAUGGACUAUAUGGACUGAGGAGCUACCACUCACCUUAUCGCGGACGCAAGGAGCAAGCCUGGGGAGGUGUUUUGGAAGAAAGAUUGAAAGCUUUCAUCUGUAAUUGUGCAUUCCACCAUUGAUGAGUUCAAACUCUUCUUGAGGUUGAAGAUGAAGUGAAAAAGUCAAGAACACAUCACCAAUUCAAGCAUUUGACUGGUACAUUCCUUCCAUAUCUCAAGUUUAAUGCAUGAAUUUUAAGAUAGUUUGAUUAGAAUUGUUGAAAAUUCGUUCGCGUGCUUCAUAUAGUUAUACAUUCCUAUCUCAAUAGUUAUGCUUUUGCUUUUGGUCAUACUUUGCCUAGUUGUGCUUUAGCUUUUGAUCAUACUUUGUCUGUCAUAUACAUUUGGCUUGUUAGCACCAUGACAAAACACAAGAAUCCAAAGCCAAAGGAGGAAUGGGAAUCCAAGUAUGGUGUCACCACCAUUGUGCACCGUUCUCUGGAGGAGCGUGACCGUUACUGUCACCUAAAGGGUCGUGAAUACUCUCAACAACGGUUUGUACACAUUCCCACUCUCCAAGAAAUAGGAGUUUAUGAUGGGGUCUUUCGGCUAUUUAGCAAUAUCGGGUGGGAGAGUAUUAACUUUAACACCUAUGGAUUCGUUCAAAAACACAACUCUUGAAUUCUUACAAUCUUUGCAUUUCAAUGAUGAUUCCAAAAGACUCUCAUUCCGCCUCAUGCAAUUGCAAUUUUUUCCAAGGCUAGACGAUCUUAGUGGGUUUGUAGGGAUCUCUACGGACAAUACUUAUGGUCCUCAUUUAGGAUUUAAGCGAGAAAAAAAUACCCUCUUCAAAGCUAAGGACUUUUGGAUGGAAAUCAUAGGGUUGGAUUCUUACGAGGCUCGAUCCGCCAAAGCUUCUCAAAUCAUUCAUCCGGUCUUAAGGGUGGCCCUCCAAAUUAUCUCUAAUGUUGUCUUCCCCCAAGAAGAUACAAGCAAAACUAGUAAAAUGGAGCUAGAACUUCUUUAGUGCAUGGUCACUGGCCUUAAAAGACCACAUUUUGGCGCCUUUCUUGCCUCCAAACUUGUCAAGAUUUCCACUAGUGAUUCCGACCCCAUUCAUUGUGGCGGGAUAGUCACUUAUCUUGCCACUCGCCUUGCUUGUGCCGAACUUUUUGAGGAGAAACGCCCUGAUCUCGAGAAAAUCACACAAGGCUCCAAUGCCCUCACGUCUAAUGUCCUUGAAACCUCAUCUUUCUUCCGCAAAGAGAGUGAAGGUAGUCUUACAUGGUGGGUGCAGAAAAAACCUCAUUUCUGAGUUCCUGCUGGGGAUUUCAGUUCCCUCCAACUCCAACAGGACAUCACUCAGACACGGUGGUUAUUGCUAAAUAACAUUUCUGCUAAGCCCAUCCCGCGAUCUCCUAAGUGGAUAAUCGUCGACCACGAAGACGAAACCAGUGCUACUCCUUUUGUCCCCCUCGCUCACUUUACUCCUCCCACUGCAGGAGGAUCAACUUCUGUUGUCCCGGUAGAGACCACCCAUUACAUCUACACCAACCGGGCGACUCAGUACCACGACACAUACAUGAGGCGUUUUGAUCUCCUUGAUCAAGUUGUUGCAGACAUUCAAGCUAAUUUAUCUGCAACCAAUGCAUCCAUUCAUCAAUUGGCACAAACAGUACAAAAUAUUCAUUCUGAGUUUAUGCGGUGUUGGACCCCUCGCGGUCAACCUCCGCCUCAUCCUCCCACCACUCGGUAGGCCUCUCUGAGCAUCGAUGACAAUGCUUAAUCUUAAGCUUUGGGAAGGUCUUUGUAUAUUAGGUUCUAGUUUCCUCAUGCAUUUCAUCAAAAACAUUUCAAUAACCCAAAAAGAUUUUGCUUUUCUUAUUUUCAUUUUUUAAGUGUAUUCAUUUCAAAGCAUACAAACAAAAUUACAAAAAUAUUUUCAUUUUUUAUUUUAUUUUAUUUCUUUGCAUUUUGCAUUUUUAAUCACCAAAAAUUACAAAAAAAAUUUAAUUUCAACUUAUUCUUAGUUUGCAUUUCAAAUAUAUAUAUAUAUAUAUAUAUAUAUAUAUAUAUAUAUAUAUAUAUAUAUAUAUAUAUAUACACAUCAAAUCAUAAAGGGUGCGAGUAGUUGACCACCUUGAAGUCCAAAGAAAAAAUAGAAAUUAAAUAACUCCUCACUUUGAAUGUGUCGCACAAACAAAGAAUGCUAGACCUGACGGUGUCAUCUUUGUCGUGGGUUUGGUAACUCAAAAAUAGAGGGUAGAUGAUUUUCUGUGUUGAGUUAUGGAGUAAAGGAGGGUAAAACAGCUUUUGAAAAUACCGCGCUCUUUAAAACUCGAUAUUUCACGCCAACUCUUGUUUGAAAUGACCGGACAACCAUCUUUAGAAUCACUUUUGAGUAGACCUCUUGAAGGGAGAUUUUGUUGCAUCCACCUGUUCACACAUCGUCUGAAGUAUUGAAGACUUGGUUGGCCAUUACACCUAAUCGGGCUAAAAUCUAUACAAGCAAAUGAUUCAAGAACCAAUAAAGCUACAAUAGAAGAAAGAAUCCACAAGCCAAGUCUUACACCAAAGAGAUUCAGAAGCAAAGCAAGUCAAAUAAAAAGAAAUCAACCUCAAAUAAUUAAAAAGCAACUUGAAGAAGCGAAAGACAAAGUUUAUCAAAGCAAGUCAAAGAAGUCAAGUUGAAGGUUAAAGACACGAACAACACAAGAUCUCGGAAGGAUGCAAUGAUUGAUACCUUUGGCAGGAAGCCUGAGAUGAACAGUGAGCAUUGGGAUGGAUUGAAAUGUUGAGUCAACCGGGAGUACAUUGAGAGAGUUUUAGAGGAGCGGUCCCUUUUUAGAUAUAUGGUACCUUCCCAAAUAAAGUAAUUUGGCACCAGGGUUGUCUACAUUUUCAAAACUACUGAAUCGGUGACUUUCGUGUAAAGUCUCACGACCCUCUGACUUUGAACUCCGAACCCAUGUUGUCAUUUAAAAGAUGACGUCCAAGGUUUGACUAUGUUGACACUUACUUAAAGUGAGAACAAUAAAUGGAUAACAUUUUGUGUUUGGAUAAUUGGUAAUUGACUUUCGUACCCCUGGUGAUCGAACAAGUAGAAUUAUGAAAUUCGAAAAAAAAAUCCUUUUAUUUUUUUGAAACUUUCUUAAGCUUAUUUUCUUAGUUUCUUUUGUAAAUAUGUUAUUUUCAUUGUUUUUGUUCAUGCAUUCAUUCUUAGCUCAUUUAGGGUCUUUUUGUCCCUUUUGCUUUAUGUUUCUUUUUGCCAUCUAGAAAUUUUGUUUUGCCCGAUUCUCGUUCUUUCUUGAGGACAAGAAAGGUUAAGCUUGAAGAGGUUUGUUAGGUGCAUUUUGUGCACCUAUUUUAGACGUCUAUUCCUAUCUUUUCAUUGUGUUUUACUUCCUAAUUCUUGUAUUUAAUUAACUAUUUGGGCACUUACAUAUUUUAUUUAGAAUGUUUGGUACUUUACUAUCUUUUGAUUUAUUUUGCAGGCUUAUAGAGCGCAGAGCAUUGGAGUUACGGAGGCUAGAAUGGAGCUUAGAUGAUGGAGCUUGGAGCAUGAAGAGAAGAUGGAUUGGUUGUGUUACGAAAGAGAACUUGAAGACAUAACCCGAGUCGUUGCAUUUUAUCAUGGCAAAAGACCACUUUUGAUGCAUGAUCCAUGUCACACUGACACGAGUCAUGUUUGUCAUUUUUAUCUUAGCAACAUGACUCGGGGUGAAGUUAGAUCGAAGAUAGAUUUGAAGACUUAUUUGAGUUUUAGCAAAAAACACGUCCAUGCUGAAAACACAUGGCCAUACUGAAAACAUAUUGUCAUGCUAAAAAAGCAUUGUCUUAUGGCAAGCACGCGAACAGUUAUUUGUGGGGCUAAAUAGUACGAAAUCGUCAUUUUGAUAGGAGGAAACGGUUUUGAGAACAACUGGAGGCAAUUUUUGGAGAAUUUUGGAGCUUUUGAAGAUACCAAAUCAUUGCAAACAUUUUUUUAUUUCCAUUUGUAAGCAUUAAACAAUUCCAAUUUCAUCUUUUUUGUUGGUUGAUUUGUUCUUAACCAUGUGUGGCUAAGAAACAUUAAUUUAUAGUUCUUGUUCAAAACAUGUUGAUUGCUUGACUUGAAGCAUAUGACUUAAUAUUUGAUUUAUGAUUAUAUUCUAGUGAUUAUGUUC